UAAGCUAGCAGAAAAAAAGUGUAAACAAAGGGAUGAUGGGAAGUCAGGACAGGCUUACUCCACGCCAACAGUACCGUCCACAACUGAAAAUUACAACUAAAAGACCACUGGGAAUGUUUUUACAACAGAUCAAAGGAUGACUGGAGUGGGUCUUUAAUGAUUAUAACAGAGCUCUACUUUCUCUCUCAAUCUGAGGAAUUCUGCAACUCUUCUUAAUUUUUAAAGAAAAAAACUGUCAUGUUUUCAUUAAAAGAACACAUUCUACAAAAAUAAAUCCCUGAAUGUUUCCAUUUUUCCCGCAGCUCCCUGUAAAUCCUCCCUGCUUGUAAUGAUCAGCCAAGUAGGACAGCAGGAGGUGCUGUUAAGGUGCGUUUAACACCAGCCAUGGCACACACACAGAGCCUGUUGUUUCCAUGACGCAGCACGUCUCUGCAGGAAUCAGCAGGGCGAAUAGCGAGGGAAUAGGUGACACAGGGGGUAGGAGAGACAGAAGAGAAGUGUGAUGAGGACAGGAAACAAGGCAGAGGAAGUGGGAACAGAGGAGAGAUCAAACAGCCUCCACUUGUAGUUGUUGUGACUCUUAGGAAAAACAAGUAUUGCUUUUGCCAACUUCUAUUCGCUUUGUGGACUUUUUUCAAUUUAGCUGUAACUAAAAAUAAAAAAACAGUUUUUGUCAGUGUAGCCAUGGACUUCACUACUUUCUGCAGAUAUUUGUCUGCUGUGGAUGUUGCUCUACAAUCAUCUUCUGAAUCCUAGAACCAGAGCUGACAGAACAGAUGGUCCAACUCAGACGGUGAUUCACUCCGGACAAGGAAAGUGCCGCAUAGGUAGAGCGGUCGACCUCUGAGUGGAAGAUUAACUCCUGCAGAGCCAUCGUCCUCGUAGAGCUCUGCGAUCUGUAGACCAGAUGCUCUUAGUGGUUCCAAAGACUCGACUUGUGACCAAGGGGGACAGAGCGUUUUCUGUGGCUGCUCCUAAACUCUGGAAUCGUCUUCCCCUGUCAGUGAGAUCUGCCAGAUCCUUAAAUGAUUUUAAAUCUCUGCUAAAAACUCAUCUUUUUACAUUGGCUUUUAACACCAGAGAGAAUGAUAAUUCAACAGAUUUUUUAGUGUUUUCUUUUAUUGAUGAUUUUAUUAUCGUUUUACUGUGCUUCUUUGAAUUUUACCUAUGGUUUUAGUGUAUUUAUACUUGUGCAGCACUUUGGAUGUCUGGCGAAUGUG
Oryzias latipes (Japanese medaka) is the source of this 1220-nucleotide non-coding RNA. NCBI's taxonomy places the organism in Eukaryota, Metazoa, Chordata, Actinopteri, Beloniformes, Adrianichthyidae. The record is from RefSeq and is a predicted model, not a curated record.